RNAcentral lists this ribosomal RNA (560 nucleotides) under uncultured bacterium. RNAcentral describes it as "bacterial SSU rRNA". It matches the Rfam family "Bacterial small subunit ribosomal RNA", at positions 35 to 573 of the family's 1533-position model. The record is from RNAcentral.
GCUGGCGGCGUGCCUAACACAUGCAAGUCGAGCGGUAAGGCCCCUUCGGGGGUACACGAGCGGCGAACGGGUGAGUAACGCGUGGGUAACCUACCCAGAGGUCGGGGAUAGCCCCGGGAAACCGGGGGUAAUACCGGAUGUGUCCCAGACGGCAUAAGUCGACUGGGAGAAAGGCGGGGAUCUUCGGACCUGUCGCUUCUGGAUGGGCCCGCGUCCGAUUAGCUUGUUGGUGAGGUAAAGGCUCACCAAGGCAUCGAUCGGUAGCCGGCCUGAGAGGGUGAACGGCCACAUUGGGACUGAGACACGGCCCAGACUCCUACGGGAGGCAGCAGUGGGGAAUUUUGGGCAAUGGGCGCAAGCCUGACCCAGCGACGCCGCGUGGAGGAUGAAGGCCUUCGGGUUGUAAACUCCUGUCAGGUGGGAAGAAAUGCCCGUCGGUGAAUAGCCGACGGGAGUUGACGGUACCACCAAAGGAAGCCCCGGCUAACUCCGUGCCAGCAGCCGCGGUAAUACGGAGGGGGCAAGCGUUAUUCGGAUUUACUGGGCGUAAAGCGCACGUA